GGAAGUAGAAGUCGUAACAAGGUCUCCGUAGGUGAACCUGCGGAGGGAUCAUUACAGAGUUCUCGCCCUCGCGGGUAGAUCUCCCACCCACUGUUAUCGUUACUGUGUUGCUUUGGCGGGCCGCCGGGCCCCGCUCGGCCGCCGGCUCCGGCUGGCGCGCGCCCGCCAGAGGCCCAGCAAACUCUGAAUGUUAGUGUCGUCUGAGUACUAUAUAAUAGUUAAAACUUUCAACAACGGAUCUCUUGGUUCUG
RNAcentral lists this unclassified non-coding RNA (251 nucleotides) under plant metagenome. RNAcentral describes it as "partial contains small subunit ribosomal RNA, internal transcribed spacer 1, and 5.8S ribosomal RNA". The stretch from base 1 to 54 matches the Rfam family "Eukaryotic small subunit ribosomal RNA", at positions 1778 to 1831 of the family's 1831-position model. The record is from RNAcentral.